Molecule: unclassified non-coding RNA, 303 nt
Filed under: Hevea brasiliensis (rubber tree)
Lineage: Eukaryota; Viridiplantae; Streptophyta; Magnoliopsida; Malpighiales; Euphorbiaceae
Source: RNAcentral
CGGCCCCGGUGAGGGGCAUAGGCCAUGCCUGUUCCCUGCCAUCUGUUAGUUAAGAUAUAUCGGGGCUUUUAAGUGAACAUUUUUUACUUGAAAUGGCAGGGGGCAGGCAUGAAGAACUGAGGUGGGCAUAGGAGAAGGAUCUAUAUUUUCUGGGACUUAAUAUGCUUCUCCCCACCAUCAGUUUCAUUGGAGCUUCUUGCAUCUCUUAUGGUCGACGAAGCUCAUUGCUUUGAAAUUUGUGUUAGUAGGCUGAGCUGUUCAGGUUGCUCUUGCCACUGAUAAUGAUGGAAAGUUAAAUGGAAG